This 468-nucleotide ribosomal RNA is filed under the name uncultured Glomus. RNAcentral describes it as "SSU rRNA". It matches the Rfam family "Eukaryotic small subunit ribosomal RNA", at positions 569 to 1042 of the family's 1831-position model. The record is from RNAcentral. Lineage: Eukaryota; Fungi; Glomeromycota; Glomeromycetes; Glomerales; Glomeraceae.
AGCAGCCGCGGUAAUUCCAGCUCCAAUAGCGUAUAUUAAAGUUGUUGCAGUUAAAAAGCUCGUAGUUGAAUUUCGAGACCGGUUUACUGGUCGUGCUUUUGUACGUACUGGUAUUAUUGGUUUCUCCUUUCUGACGAAUCAUAAUGCCAUUAAUUUGGUGUUUUGGGGAAUCAGGAUUGUUACUUUGAAAAAAUUAGAGUGUUUAAAGCAGGCUCACGCUUGAAUACAUUAGCAUGGAAUAACGAAAUAGGACGUUUGAUUUUAUUUUGUUGGUUUCUAGGAUCGACGUAAUGAUUAAUAGGGAUAGUUGGGGGCAUUAGUAUUCAAUUGUCAGAGGUGAAAUUCUUGGAUUUAUUGAAGACUAACUACUGCGAAAGCAUUUGCCAAGGAUGUUUUCAUUAAUCAAGAACGAAAGUUAGGGGAUCGAAGACGAUCAGAUACCGUCGUAGUCUUAACCAUAAACUAUGC